RNAcentral lists this ribosomal RNA (1333 nucleotides) under Protoplasa fitchii. Its description in RNAcentral is "partial 16S ribosomal RNA". The stretch from base 1079 to 1238 matches the Rfam family "Archaeal large subunit ribosomal RNA", at positions 2544 to 2703 of the family's 2987-position model. The record is from RNAcentral. Lineage: Eukaryota; Metazoa; Arthropoda; Insecta; Diptera; Tanyderidae.
UUUAAAAUUUAUUUAUUAAUUAAGUUUUAUUUAUUAAUUUUUAAUAAAAUUAAUUUUAUUUUUUUAGUUUAAGUAUUUUAUAAAGAAAUAAUAAUUUUUAUAAUAGUGAAUUAGUAUUGUAAAAGAAUGUUGAAAUAAUUUGAAAAAUUUUUAUUUUAAAAGAAAAUUUUAUUUAUUGUACCUUGUGUAUCAGGGUUUAUUAAUUAAAGAAUAUUUAUUAAUAUUUUUCUCGAAUUUAAAAGAGUUAAUAUUUUAUUUUAGUUAUUGUAGCAUAAUUAUUAAUAAUAAAAUAUUAGAAAUGAAACGUUAAUCGUUUUUAAAUAUAUCUAGUUUUUUAAGAAAUAAAUUUAAUUUAUAUAUUAAAUUAAAAAUUUUUAAUUAGAUUAAUGAUUUUAUAUUUUAAUAUAAAUAUUUUAAGGGAUAAGCUUUAAAAUAAAUUUUUAUAAUUAUAUAUUUUUAUAAUAAUAUGUAAGCUUAAAAUUAGCUAUCAUUAAUAAAUAUGUUAUAAUUUAUUUUAUUAAUAGAUAUUAUUUAUUUUUAAUUUAAAUUUUUUAUUAAAAUAUUUAUUUAAAUUAUUUAAGUAAAUAAAUAAUGAUAAAAUUAGUAAAAUUUUUUAUAUAAAUAAUAAUUUUUGUAAGGUUUAUAUAAUUAAUUCGGCAAAUUGAUGCUCGCCUGUUUAUCAAAAACAUGUCUUUUUGAAAUUAAUUUAAAGUCUAAUCUGCCCACUGAUUUUUUUAAAGGGCCGCGGUAUUUUGACCGUGCAAAGGUAGCAUAAUCAUUAGUCUUUUAAUUGAAGGCUUGUAUGAAUGAUUGAACGAGGUAUCAGCUGUCUCAUAUAAAAUUUUUAUUGAAUUUUAUUUUUUAGUUAAAAAGCUAAAAUAAUUUUAAAGGACGAGAAGACCCUAUAGAGUUUUAUAAUUAAUAUUUUUUUUUUAUAAAGAAUAAUUUAAAAUAAAUAUAAAAAAUUAUUUUGUUGGGGUGACAAUAAAAUUUAAGAAACUUUUAUUAUAAAAUUAACAUUAAUUUAUGAAUAAUUGAUCCAGUAUAUUUAUUGAUUAAAAAAUUAAAUUACCUUAGGGAUAACAGCGUAAUAUUUUUUGAGAGUUCUUAUCGAUAAAAAAGAUUGCGACCUCGAUGUUGGAUUAAGAGUAAUUUUAGAUGCAGAAGUUUAAAGUUUUAGGUCUGUUCGACCUUUAAAUUCUUACAUGAUCUGAGUUCAAACCGGCGUGAGCCAGGUUGGUUUCUAUCCUUAAAUAAAUUAAAUAUUUUAGUACGAAAGGACCAAAUAUUUAAAAUAUAAAUUUUAAUAAAUUGAUUUUUAUUAAUAUAAAUU